Molecule: ribosomal RNA, 508 nt
Filed under: uncultured bacterium
Lineage: Bacteria
Description: partial 16S ribosomal RNA
Rfam family: Bacterial small subunit ribosomal RNA
Source: RNAcentral
AUUGAACGCUAACGGCGUGCUUAACACAUGCAAGUCGAGCGGCAGCAUGAUCUGUAGCAAUACAGAUUGAUGGCGAGCGGCGGACGGGUGAGUAAUGCAUAGGAAUCUGCCUUGUAGUGGGGGAUAACCCGGGGAAACUCGGGCUAAUACCGCAUAGUCUCUACGGAGCAAAGUGGGGGAUCGUAAGACCUCACGCUAAAAGAUGAGCCUAUGUUGGAUUAGCUAGUUGGUGAGGUAAUGGCUCACCAAGGCGACGUUCCAUAGAUGGGCUGGGAGGAUGAGCAGCCACACGGAGACUGAGACACGGCCCAGACUCCUACGGGAGGAAGCAGUGGGGAAUAUUGGACAAUGGGCGAAAGCCUGAUCCAGCAACGCCGUGUGUGUGAAGAAGGCCUUCGGGUUGUAAAGCACUUUUAGUUGGGAAGAAAGGCUCAUGGGUAAUAUCCAUGAGUGCUGACGUUACCAACAGAAAAAGCACUGGCUAACUCUGUGCCAGCAGCCGCGGUAA